AUGCCGCAGCACAAAGGGAAUGGAAAUGGAAACUGAGCCUCACUUUCCUACCUGACUAUCGCUCGUCAACCCCUGUUCCAAAAGGAGUUCUUCCAACUUCCUUGAAUUGCAUAACACCGUGUUUUCCAUCAUCCAAGUCUUGCAAAAUUGCUUUAAAAUGUCGUGUGGUUUUACAUGUAUUUUGACGAGAAAAGCAUGUCCAAUCUUCUGUGAUUUGCUUUCAGAAUUUUAGCACAUGCAACUAAGAUGGAAAGAAAAGGGAGCUCUUCUCCGGAAACUGGAUCCACAAGCCAUGGCUCAUCAGGAGCUGAGUUCGAUGUGUUCUUGAGUUUUCGAGGAUUGGAUACUCGCGCUCACUUCACAAAUUCCCUCUAUCAUGCCUUGCUAGAUAAGGGUAUCCGUGUUUGCGUAGAUGGGAAAGGGAAUUGACGUCGGUGAGGAGAUUGGCCCAGAUAAUUUCCAGGCCACCGAUGACUCGAAAAUCUGCAUACCCAUCUUCUCUAGAGGCUAUGCCUCCACUAGCUGGUGCUUACAUGAGCUGGAACACAUGAUGGAGUGUAGGAAAAUUGAUGAACUAGACGUUAUACUUAUAUUUUGUGUUGUUGAUCCUUUCGAUGUGAAGCUUGAAAGUGAAGUACAUAGGGAUGCAUUAACUCUGUAUGAAGAAAAAUGUGGGGUGGAUAUUGUGCAGGGCUUGGCAGAGGCGCUCAAGGAAGUUACUGCAAUCAAGCAAUGCGACACCAAGAACACGGGUAUGUUAAAUCAUUCAACUCCAUUUUCCCUUUUCUCUCUGUUGCUUUUGCUUGAAUGCGGAUUAUAAUUCGAAGAGCACAGCUUUUUAUGUGUUCUGGACCAAAAAUUGUGAUGGAACAUCGCAUGGAAUUCUCACCUUAUCUACAUAAGCAUUAUAGUCCAUUUUUUAGAUUGAAAAGAACCAAAUAACCAUGCAUUCAUUCUUUUGUUCACUCAGCAUCUAUUUUGUAACCUCAUGUUAUUGUUUGAUCUUGCAUGUAUACAAGUUUGCCACCAAUCUUAUAAUUAACUUGAUUAUGUUGUGUCUUGACACAGCCAUGGAGAACUCGUAUGGUUGAUUGCUUGGAAUGUGUUGGUUAAGCUUAAGGUGUGUUAGGUUCAUAUAUCUGAUCACGUAGUUGGAAUGAACGAGCCAGUGGACGAAGUAGUAGAUUUGCUAAAUGCCAAAUCUGAGGACAUAAGGCUCAUGAGAAUUUGCGGAAUAGGUGGAAUAGGCAAGACAACUCUUGCCAAGGUUAUUUACCACAAACUUUUUACUAAUUUUAUAAGUUGCAGUUUCAUUUCAAAUAUUCGACAACCAUCAAAAGGUUCUGUUGUGUCCAAUUUGCAAAGGCAACUAGUCUCUAAUAUACUUGGCAACGUAGGAGUUGAACUUUCUAGCAUCUAUCAUGGGAUAAAUAUGAUCAAAGGUAGAUUCAAGAUAGAAAAAGUUCUUAUUGUCCUUGAUGAUGUAUAUCAUAGGAGCCAACUUAUGGCAUUAGUAGCAAAGACAAAAUGGUUUGGUUUGGGAAGUAGAAUUGUUGUUACAACAAGAGACAAAAGUGUUUUAAGUGGAUUCCGAGAUCGAUUUGACCACUGUUUAAUUUUUGAAGCUAGGGGUUCAAGGAUCUUGAAGCUCUUGAACUCUUUAGAAUGCAUGAUUUAGAAGCUACUCUCCUCCAAAUGCAUUUUUAAGUCUAUCUAAAAAAGUUACUCCAAAAAUCGGAGAGCUUCAUUUGGCUAUUGAAGUGAUGGGCUCAUUAUUAUAUAGGAAAAAGAAAGCAGUGUGGCAAGAUACAUUGAAAAAAAUGGAACAUUACCCUCAUAAGGAUGUAAGGAAAAAUUGAUUUUGAGUUAUGAGGCAAUAAAUCAUCAGCAACGACAGAUAUUUCUUGAUAUUGCUUGCUUUCUAGCUGGAGAAAAUAAGAGUUAUGCAGAUUACAUGUGGGAUGACUAUCAAUUUUUUUUCCGGAUGAGGGGAUUGAAGUUCUACUUUUGAUGCCUUAGUGAAAAUUGUAGAAAACAAUCAACUAUGAAUGCAUGAUCAGCUCAAAGACUUGGGCAAGAGCAGUGUGUACCAAGAAAAUUGUAAAGAUCCAGGAAAAUGUUCAUGGGUGUGGAACCAUGAAGAAGCUCUUGAUAUGAUCAAGAGAAAGAAGGUUUAUACCAGCCACUGUUUUGACAUCAGAUGAAUUUAUGAAGAUGCCAAAUGUUAGAUUUCUUAAAAUGAAAAAAAUACUUAUCCUCGACCUAUCGAGGAGCUGAAUGGACGAACUUUGGGGUGAUUGGACUCAUCUUAAGUUGCUCUUCACUGUGGCUAGUGGCCGCCCAACACGACGUCGCGACCAGUCGGAGAUUGCACCGCCUCUGCUGCCGCCACCACCACCCCUGUGAGCGUCUCUCUCUCUUCCCCCCAUUCCCCUCUCUAUCUCUCCCAAGAACCUGUCAAGAUCGAGCCGGUGACAACGAGGCCAGAUCUGGCUCUAUAGCUAGCGGCCUGUCAUCGUUGAUGGAGCGCCAUUUUUGUCCGGGUAGAGAGAGAUGGCGACUGUGCUCGAGCGUCGGUGACUGUGGCGGCAAGGCAGGGUUGUGGCAGCAGCGGCAGCGUCGAGGUUUUGUCGCGUGGCGAAGACACAGCUAAGGGAGAGGAGAAAAGAGAGGAACAAAGGAAUAUGGAUUACAUUUUAUGUGUGUGCUAUUAUAUCCCCAGGAAUCUUCGAUAACCAAUAGAAAUAUGCCGCGCGUCCAGGCUGUUGCGCCAACGCUGCACCCGGCGGUGGCAGAAUCCGUCCCUUCACAAAAAUUGGAAAAUGUAAUUUGGCAAUUGGCGUUUUGUUACGUUUGUUUGACAUGUGAUGCCAAGAAAACGGUAAAAUUCU
This is a long non-coding RNA of Eucalyptus grandis, 2891 nucleotides long. RefSeq lists it as uncharacterized. The record is from RefSeq and is a predicted model, not a curated record. NCBI's taxonomy places the organism in Eukaryota, Viridiplantae, Streptophyta, Magnoliopsida, Myrtales, Myrtaceae. The transcript has 4 exons.